RNAcentral lists this unclassified non-coding RNA (328 nucleotides) under soil metagenome. RNAcentral describes it as "partial contains 5.8S ribosomal RNA, internal transcribed spacer 2, and large subunit ribosomal RNA". The stretch from base 1 to 120 matches the Rfam family "5.8S ribosomal RNA", at positions 35 to 154 of the family's 154-position model. The record is from RNAcentral.
GAUGAAGAACGUAGCGAAAUGCGAUAAGUAAUGUGAAUUGCAGAAUUCAGUGAAUCAUCGAAUCUUUGAACGCACAUUGCGCCCCCUGGUAUUCCGGGGGGCAUGCCUGUUCGAGCGUCAUUUCAACCCUCAAGCUCUGCUUGGUAUUGAGUCCAUGUCAGCAAUGGCAGGCUCCAAAAUCAGUGGCGGCGCCGCUGGGUCCUGAACGUAGUAAUAUCUCUCGUUACAGGUGCUCGGCGUGCUUCUGCCAAAACCCCAAUUUUUCUAUGGUUGACCUCGGAUCAGGUAGGGAUACCCGCUGAACUUAAGCAUAUCAAUAAGCGGAAGA